GCUGGCUGUGAUGACAAUAACUUGCCCUAUCUGAGAGAGUUUCUCUGUAAUGAGACCAUCAUAACCUCAUUUCCUGAGCCAGC
Myxocyprinus asiaticus (Chinese sucker) is the source of this 83-nucleotide small nucleolar RNA. RefSeq annotates it as small nucleolar RNA SNORD103/SNORD85. NCBI's taxonomy places the organism in Eukaryota, Metazoa, Chordata, Actinopteri, Cypriniformes, Catostomidae. The record is from RefSeq and is a predicted model, not a curated record. The transcript has a single exon.